UCCUCGUGUUGCUUACCAAUGAAAAGGAAUAGGAUAGUCUUGUUCUGCGGUUCCACCUUGUGCUCUUUGGGGUGUGAGGUGGACAUGUGGCAAGCACUGUGUUCCCAACAUGCCAAGUGCAUUGGUGUUUUGGUUGUUGUGGCCUAUGGUGUCUUUGCUUGUUCUCUCGGAUGCGGAAAGCUAAGUGUGGGCUUGAGGUCUCGACCUUGAAUCGUCCAAGCACYGUCCUUUUACUUGAAUGACUGCUGCACCUGUCUUGAUCUUCCCGACCAAGGCCACGUAAUGGGGCUUACUGGACGAGGGUGGAUCAUGCAGGUUUUGGCGUCAAAGAGGAAAGCUAC
This 341-nucleotide unclassified non-coding RNA is filed under the name Acronychia baeuerlenii. Its description in RNAcentral is "contains 5' external transcribed spacer, ETS". Lineage: Eukaryota; Viridiplantae; Streptophyta; Magnoliopsida; Sapindales; Rutaceae. The record is from RNAcentral.